UUAAGUUCAGCGGGUAUUCCUACCUGAUCCGAGGUCAACCUUAGAAAAAUAGAUUUGAAGACCGGGCCGGUAGACCGCGUCGACGCGUGCUGUAAAAGCUCGUUGCAUCUAGGGUCAAACACGACACCGCCAUUACCUUUCGGGACUGUCACCUUGACCGUGACGGGGCCCAAUGACAAGCCGGGCUUGAGGGUUGAUAA
Molecule: unclassified non-coding RNA, 200 nt
Filed under: Eurotiomycetes sp.
Lineage: Eukaryota; Fungi; Ascomycota; Eurotiomycetes
Description: partial internal transcribed spacer 2
Source: RNAcentral